RNAcentral lists this ribosomal RNA (720 nucleotides) under uncultured Actinomyces sp. RNAcentral describes it as "bacterial SSU rRNA". It matches the Rfam family "Bacterial small subunit ribosomal RNA", at positions 390 to 1118 of the family's 1533-position model. Lineage: Bacteria; Bacillati; Actinomycetota; Actinomycetes; Actinomycetales; Actinomycetaceae. The record is from RNAcentral.
AGCGACGCCGCGUGAGGGAUGACGGCCUUCGGGUUGUAAACCUCUUUCAGUAGGGAAGAAGCGAAAGUGACGGUACCUGCAGAAGAAGCGCCGGCUAACUACGUGCCAGCAGCCGCGGUAAUACGUAGGGCGCAAGCGUUAUCCGGAAUUAUUGGGCGUAAAGAGCUCGUAGGCGGUUUGUCGCGUCUGCCGUGAAAGUCCGGGGCUCAACUCCGGAUCUGCGGUGGGUACGGGCAGGCUAGAGUGAUGUAGGGGAGACUGGAAUUCCUGGUGUAGCGGUGAAAUGCGCAGAUAUCAGGAGGAACACCGAUGGCGAAGGCAGGUCUCUGGGCAUUAACUGACGCUGAGGAGCGAAAGCAUGGGGAGCGAACAGGAUUAGAUACCCUGGUAGUCCAUGCCGUAAACGUUGGGCACUAGGUGUGGGGGACAUUCCACGUUUUCCGCGCCGUAGCUAACGCAUUAAGUGCCCCGCCUGGGGAGUACGGCCGCAAGGCUAAAACUCAAAGGAAUUGACGGGGGCCCGCACAAGCGGCGGAGCAUGCGGAUUAAUUCGAUGCAACGCGAAGAACCUUACCAAGGCUUGACAUGGGCCGGAUCGCCGCAGAGAUGUGGUUUCUCCUUUUGGGGCCGGUCCACAGGUGGUGCAUGGUUGUCGUCAGCUCGUGUCGUGAGAUGUUUGGGUAAGGUCCCGAAACGAGCGCAACCCUCGUUACAGUGUGG